Molecule: ribosomal RNA, 626 nt
Filed under: uncultured bacterium
Lineage: Bacteria
Description: bacterial SSU rRNA
Rfam family: Bacterial small subunit ribosomal RNA
Source: RNAcentral
CCUACGGGAGGCAGCAGUGGGGAAUUUUGGACAAUGGGCGAAAGCCUGAUCCAGCAAUGCCGCGUGAGUGAAGAAGGCCUUCGGGUUGUAAAGCUCUUUUGUCAGGGAAGAAACGGUGAGAGCUAAUAUCUCUUGCUAAUGACGGUACCUGAAGAAUAAGCACCGGCUAACUACGUGCCAGCAGCCGCGGUAAUACGUAGGGUGCAAGCGUUAAUCGGAAUUACUGGGCGUAAAGCGUGCGCAGGCGGUUUUGUAAGUCUGAUGUGAAAUCCCCGGGCUCAACCUGGGAAUUGCAUUGGAGACUGCAAGGCUAGAAUCUGGCAGAGGGGGGUAGAAUUCCACGUGUAGCAGUGAAAUGCGUAGAUAUGUGGAGGAACACCGAUGGCGAAGGCAGCCCCCUGGGUCAAGAUUGACGCUCAUGCACGAAAGCGUGGGGAGCAAACAGGAUUAGAUACCCUGGUAGUCCACGCCCUAAACGAUGUCUACUAGUUGUCGGGUCUUAAUUGACUUGGUAACGCAGCUAACGCGUGAAGUAGACCGCCUGGGGAGUCGGUUCGCGAAGAUUAAAACGUCAAAGAGUUAGUACGGCGUUGNGAGAGCGACGACGACGACGACGGAGGAGGAGG